Molecule: ribosomal RNA, 468 nt
Filed under: uncultured bacterium
Lineage: Bacteria
Description: partial 16S ribosomal RNA
Rfam family: Bacterial small subunit ribosomal RNA
Source: RNAcentral
GACGAACGCUGGCGGCGUGCUUAACACAUGCAAGUCGAACGGAAAGGCCCUGCUUUUGUGGGGUGCUCGAGUGGCGAACGGGUGAGUAACACGUGAGUAACCUGCCCUUGACUUUGGGAUAACUUCAGGAAACUGGGGCUAAUACCGGAUCGGAGCUCCUGCUGCAUGGUGGGGGUUGGAAAGUUUCGGCGGUUGGGGAUGGACUCGCGGCUUAUCAGCUUGUUGGUGGGGUAGUGGCUUACCAAGGCUUUGACGGGUAGCCGGCCUGAGAGGGUGACCGGCCACAUUGGGACUGAGAUACGGCCCAGACUCCUACGGGAGGCAGCAGUGGGGAAUAUUGCAAAAUGGGCGGAAGCCUGAUGCAGCAACGCCGCGUGCGGGAUGACGGCCUUCGGGUUGUAAACCGCUUUCGCCUGUGACGAAGCGUGAGUGACGGUAAUGGGUAAAGAAGCAACGGCUAACUACGUG